Molecule: non-coding RNA, 4154 nt
Organism: Dermacentor andersoni
Lineage: Eukaryota; Metazoa; Arthropoda; Arachnida; Ixodida; Ixodidae
Source: RefSeq, a predicted model, not a curated record
CCAGCUGCUCUGAAGGCUGCAGUGGUGCAGAGGAGUGCGAAGGUGAUGCAGAUGAAUUUUGUUGCCUGUUCUCAAGCAAACGCCUUCCGAACUCAGCCAUAAGUGUCAGAGAGGCCAUGCUGACGCUAAUGGCGUAUACUGCGUCAGUAGGCCCAAACUGGGCGGAUACGGAGAAGCUUUUGAGUGUUAUAAACCUUUUUCUAGGCAUGCCCUUCCUUCCUACUUCGAGCUACAUGCUUAGAAAAGCGUGGAGACAGUGGAUGGGCGGCCUUGUCAAACGCAACUACUUUUGUGAGGCAUGCGAAGCUGUGAUGCUGAAUCCUCGUCAGAAAGAUUUUUUAUGCUUGCACUGCAACACCGCCAACUCGGGUCAAAUUCUUUUUGUUACAUUGGACCUCAGAAGCAAAUUGAAAUCAUGCUUAUCGACAAGUCUGUGUCAAAAGGCUUAAUGGAAUCCUUGAAGAAAAGGGAACUUCAAGCGGAUGAUGGCUCUGUGAAAGACAUCUGUGAUGGGCGGCUUUACAAAGAACAGAUGAAAAACUCUUCAUGGUGUGACAUAUCCCUCACAUUCAACACAGAUGGUGCGAAACUUUUCAAAUGCAACAAAGCUUCAAUAUGGCCAUUUCAGUGUGUGGUGAAUGAACUGCCAUUAUCAUCGCGGUGGAGUAAUGUGCUCUUGUGUGGACUGUAUUUUGGAAAGGGCCACCCAAGAAUGAGUCCAUUCCUUGGAACUUUUGUUAAAAGCCUUAAAGAACUGAACUCUGUCAGGUGGAAGUGUGAUGAACAAGCGCUGUCCGCGAAGGUGCACAUCGCGUGUUGUGUUGAUGCUCGAGCACGUGCAGCAGUGCUCAAUAUGAAGCAAUACAACGGCUACUUUGGGUGCAGUUUCUGCCUUCACAAAAGUGUCCAUAUCCGUGGGUCUCUGAGAUACCCAGUGCCAGAGGAAGCAAGCCACCCAAAUCUGAGGACCAACACAAGUGUCAGGAAGACAUGCGAAUAUAUCUGCAGUCUUGAAAUCCAUCCCACGGCAUAAAGGGAGCUUCAGCACUUGCUUACAUACCCAACUUUGACUUAGUUUGGGCUGUUUGUGCAGACUACAUGCAUUGUGUGCUAGAAGGAGUUGCAAGGCCAUCAUAUGGUUUGGGUCAGCAUAUUCACCAUCAUAUAUGGAAAGCCAUCUCAAAUCAAGAGAGUGGACCAACGAAUGCUCAGUAUUAAGCCACCACAGUGGUUCACCCGACUCCCACGCACUGUGCAGGAAAGAGCGACGUGGAAGGCAAGCGAAUGGAAAUGGUGGGUGUUGUUUUAUGACGCUCCAUGUCUCGAUGGCAUCCUGCCAUCAAACUACCACAGCCAUUUCUGCUUGCUGGUGUCAGCCGUGCACAUUCUACUGAAAUCGAGCAUUAGCAGAGAAGAAAUUAGUGAUGCAAUAGGAGAGCUUUCUAGUUUUGUCUUCAAAAUGCAGAUGCUGUAUGGUGAGACAUCAAUGACUCAAUGUGCAUCAACUUUUGCACCUGCCGAAUAGUGUGGUGGAACUUGGUCCUUUGUGGGCUCACUCCACAUUUGCUUUUGAGUCGGGAAAUGGAGUACUGUUGAAAUGAAUAAGCAGUGCAAAUGGUGUGCCAGUGCAAGUUAUGGAACGGCUUGUGAUGCAGCUACAGCUUGCAAUGCUCAAGAAUACUCUUAAUUUGCAGCCUAAAGUGAAAGAAAUGUGUCAUCAGCUAACAGCUCCAGUAGCUUGCAAAAGUAAUGAAACAAAGACUUUGGGAAGAGGGGUUGUGUGUGGCGUUGUGGACAAUGAGCAAAAGAAUGCAUUUCUUGCGGAGCUUGCCUACAUACCCGAUAAAGUUACCAGCUUCGAGCGCCUUUUAGUUCGAGGCCACCUGCUUCACACCAGUGCAUACCACCGUGCGAAAAAAAACCAGGUACUGUACCUCCAAAUGUACAAUGGGUCAGUUCUAUACUUUCCACAAUGUGUAUGAAAUUUGUGAUAGCUCUUGCAUGUUAUAGCGUACACAGUUGGCCUGUGAAAGGUAUCAUAACAUUGCACGCAUCAGCUCCUGCAUGCCAAAAGAGAAAAAUUUGUAAUGUCUCUUGACAGAGUAGGUAGCAUUCCUGUUCUAAUGUCUCUGGGCAGUUCCUGCUAUGUUGCAGACCUACCCAAUUUGCUUGAGAACGAUUAGAACAAGUGGUAGUCCAUUUAAUAAGAGGCAAGUCAAAAGCGGUUGACAUUGAAGAAUUAGUGUACCAUGUAGUUUGUUGUUCCUUUUUUGUUAUUCGGGAGGGUGAAAUAGAAUACCUUGGCUUUCUUCGAUGUCAACCACUGCUGAGUUGCCCUAACUUUACCUGUGCCAUCGCACCCUCCUUUACUCUUACCAUCUUACUCUUACACAGAGCCCAAUUUACUUAACAUUUACUUCCUUUUUAUACUACGCUACUUCCAGAUAUAUUCCACAUGUUUCACUGCGUAAAACAACCCUUCUUGUUCUAGUUUUAGGCAUAUGCAGUUUCAGCGAGAGCAUGUGGGUUUAAUCUGAGCCUUCUUUCUCUAAUUAUGCCUUAGUACUGCUUUGUACAUAGUUCUACACUAACCUGGAGUAUAUUUUUUCUAAGCUUCAUUUAGAUGGCUUUCUCUUGGUCCUACAUACAUUAGAAGCCCUAAUAUCCUCUAAUUUAUGAUACAAAGGUGGUUAGAUACGCAGAUCCAGCUGAUCUCCAUUCAAUCUGAACUCGCCAAGGAAGACAUCUUCAAAACUUGAAUGUUAGCCAUUUCAGCGGCACCAAUCAAGAACAACUCUUCUUUAGCUGAACGGUGCAAUCUUUAUACUGACCACAUUCUAUUAUUUAUUUGUUUGUUUGUUUGUUUACUUAAAUGACCAUGGUAUAGGCUGCCUUCUAGAAGCUCCGGCAGAGCGAUUACGUAGUAUGACCAGAGUGCAUAUUUUCCCUUCAAGAGACUAUGAAGAAAAGCACAAUUAAUAAAAUAAACAUUUCAAAACACACAUAAUGUGCAUAGUAGCCACACAAUAGUCUUGAGGCUGUCAAAAAGAUAGGUGCAAACGAUGACUCAGUACACAAAACAAGUGCAUGAAAUUACCAGUCCAUCUGAACUGCAAAUCAAGAGGACUUGGGAUUGCUAGAGUUGAUAAGAUUUUAUGAAAGGGUGUGCCAUUGGCUUAUUGGUUGAAGAAUGAACUAUAAACAGUCUGCGGCACUAAAAUGGUUUUAAUGUGUUAAGGCUAUUACAUUUAUUCUGUUUGUCAGAAUUUAUUAGGUUUAAUGUAAGAGUGAAGUCUUAUUUUAGUGCAGUUAAUGCUCAACAACUGCAAGUUAUGUAAUUUCUAGCAAGCUUCUAGUGUCUGGUAUCUGUUACUGAGAUAUGUGUGUUGUAUGCAUUACAAGUAAACCUAAGUGCUUACUUUCUAUGCAUUCUAUGGUACUUAUGUCUGUCUGUGUGCUGGUCCUAGACGGCACCCAUGUAUGUGAGCAAAGGCCUGAUAGAGUCUUGUUUAUCUUAGCUUGGUCGCACUGGUGCAAUGCUUCAAGCGGUGUUUAGUAACCAAAACUAUUUCAUUGCCGCUGUGAAAAUAUACUGGCUAUGUACAUUAUAGCUCAUCUUAGAAUCAACAGGAUCGAGGUGUUGCAAGUUCAACAGCUUGCCAAAUGUCUACAUUGCCUAUCUUGUACUUAAAACUAGCUAUUUUGUCUUAUGUGUAAUAACCAUGUGUGUGCAUUUUGUGAUGUUUAGAGUAAUCCUACAUGAUGGGUGACAUUACCUGUUUAUCGCUACCAAAUACUUGCUUCAAAUUGAUUCGUCAUCCAGAGACUGAAUGCUUCAGCAUGAUACAGUCAUUUGCAAAAAAAGGAGAGAAAGCAACAUCCUGUGGUAGAUAGAAGAGAAACAUUGUUCUGAUGAAUUAGAAAAAGAAGUAGCAGUUGAUCACAUAAUUUACUUGUGUAUUUCCCUAUUUCAAUUCAUUGUGGGUGUUUGAAUGAAGAAAAUAAAAUAUUUGGAAAAGUAGUUUUCUUGGUGGUGGAUCGUUUUCUUUAACGCCGCUACUACUAAACUGACACUGAAUAUCUUGCAUUUUUUCUUUUUCAGCAACUUCAUCCUGAAGCUCAUUCUUGUGUGUCAAAUAAAAACCUCCUCAAUA